CCUACGGGGGGCAGCAGUGAGGAAUCUUCCACAAUGGGCGAAAGCCUGAUGGAGCAACGCCGCGUGAAGGAUGAAGGCCUUCGGGUUGUAAACUUCUUUUAUGAGUGAAGAAUAUGACGGUAACUCAUGAAUAAGCACCGGCUAACUACGUGCCAGCAGCCGCGGUCAUACGUAGGGUGCAAGCAUUAUCCGGAGUGACUGGGCGUAAAGAGUUGCGUAGGCGGUUUAAUAAGUGAAUAGUGAAACCUGGUGGCUCAACCAUACAGACUAUUAUUCAAACUGUUAAACUCGAGAAUGGUAGAGGUAACUGGAAUUUCUAGUGUAGGAGUGAAAUCCGUAGAUAUUAGAAGGAACACCGAUGGCGUAGGCAGGUUACUGGGCCAUUUCUGACGCUAAGGCACGAAAGCGUGGGGAGCGAACCGGAUUAGAUACCCGGGUAGUC
This 442-nucleotide ribosomal RNA is filed under the name uncultured Candidatus Saccharibacteria bacterium. RNAcentral's name for it is "bacterial SSU rRNA". It matches the Rfam family "Bacterial small subunit ribosomal RNA", at positions 338 to 795 of the family's 1533-position model. The record is from RNAcentral. Lineage: Bacteria; Candidatus Saccharimonadota.